AAAGCUUCCUGGACACUUCUAUAAAAGAUGGUCUCUUCUGGAUGUCAUUCUGGAUGUCAUGCCUAGAAUUUCUGCAGUCAUCUUGUGACCAUGAGGGUAGAAUACAGUACAAAUCUAAUAUACCAGAAAUGGCAGAACAUUCAACAAAUGAGGCUAAAACACUUAGAUAUCCAUAUAUACAAAGAAAGAAAAAAAAGAACCUCAACCUUUAACUCAUACCUUACAUAAAAAUUAUUGUGAAAUUGAUCAUAGACCUAAAUCUAAAUACGAGAGCUAAAACUAUAAAACUUUUGAGAGAAAACCUAGGAGAAAGUAUUUAUGAUCUUGGAUUUGGUAAAUCUUUGUAAUCUUUGAUUUUGUGUAAUUUGAAUGUACAAAAAAAGUUGAUGGUGUUUACCAGAGGGAAAGAGGGGAGGGCAAAAGGGGUAAAGGGGCACAUGUGUACAGUGACAAAUGGCAACUAGGCUUUUGAUGGUGAACAAGAUGUAGUUUAUACAGACGUUGAAAUAUAAUGAUGUACACCUGAAAUUUAUGUAAUGUUGUAAACCAACGUUACCUCAAUAAAAAAAAUAAAAAAUUGGGGGGAAAAAAGCUGAAAAUCUAAAAGAAGAAAUUGAUAGAUUAACUUCCUCAAAAUUAAAAGCUUUUGCACUUCAAAAAGCACUGUUAGGAUACCAAGUUUUGGUAAGUAUGUGGAUCCUGGAUGGAUCUCAAAAGCAUGAUGCUAUGUGACAGAAAGAAGACAAAAAAGUCCGUACUAUAUAAUCCCAUUGAAAUUGCCAGGGACAAGUUUAGGGGGAUGGGAUUGACUGCAAAGGGGCUAAAGGGAACUUUUUGGAAUGAUGGAAAUGUUUAAUUUCUUGAUUGUGGUAGUGAUGACAUGAUUAUACAUUUGUCAAACCUCAUUUAAUCGUACACUUAAAAUGUAUGAAUUUCAUUACAUGUAAAUUUUUCCUCAAUAGAACUGACUUAAAAGAAAAGAAUGGCUGAAGAGAAAGAUGGGAAGAACCGGAGUCCUCGAGACCAUUAUUGUAUAUUCAUUCAACUAACCCUGAAGCCGCCAUACUUUUCAUAUUCUUCCAUGGGCUGUUAAGUGUCCCUAUCAUUUAAGCCACUUAGCAUUAUUUUCUAUGUUUCUUGCAGCCAAAAUCUCCCUAACAGAUGAAGUUCAAGCACCAGUGAACUUAAAAUAUUAAUAAAUUUGUACCAAAAAGAUGGGAUCAGAAGAGCAGGUAAACCUGUAUUGAGAAUAUGUGGACGUUUUUUAAGUGUGGGGAUUUAAUGUGGAAUUUUAUGAUUCAGAGCAUAUUGCUGUGUGUAUGUUUCAAGAUGAAAACUGACAGAAUAUAGAAAUAUAAAUUUUGGAACUAGUGAAAGAACAUCUUCUGAAUGAACAUGAUGAGGAACAAGAAAGAAAAGAGAAUCUAGACAUGAAAGCACUGAAGUAUGAGUCAUCAGAAGAGAAAAAAAUAGGGAAAACAAGGUUUUCAAACAACGCUAUUUUGAUAGAUCUUACAGACUAUGAAUGAUUCACCACAAGCACUCGCACACAAAAGGACUUUCUUGGCUGUGUGCCAACUUGUAGGUAUGGCGUGGAUUCUGCUUUUCAAAGGACCAGGUGCUGAAAAAUGCUUACACUGGUUCAAACAAAAAAUAAAAACUUAACCGUUUAGUGAGCAUACUUUACAAGGCCAAGAUCGUUUCAAAUCAAAGUUUUAAAGAUUUUCUUCUUCUUCCUAAGUGAAACAAGGAGAUGCUGAAGAAUUUAAAAAAGGGAAUAACAUGAUACUAUCUACGUUUUAAGGUUACCCUAGCCACUAAUC
RNAcentral lists this long non-coding RNA (1823 nucleotides) under Equus caballus (horse). RNAcentral describes it as "lncRNA (ENSECAG00000046766.1)". Lineage: Eukaryota; Metazoa; Chordata; Mammalia; Perissodactyla; Equidae. The record is from RNAcentral.